Small nuclear RNA from Octodon degus (degu), 170 nucleotides. Its record names the gene U1. It matches the Rfam family "U1 spliceosomal RNA". From Rfam's summary of the family: U1 is a small nuclear RNA (snRNA) component of the spliceosome (involved in pre-mRNA splicing). Its 5' end forms complementary base pairs with the 5' splice junction, thus defining the 5' donor site of an intron. There are significant differences in sequence and secondary structure between metazoan and yeast U1 snRNAs, the latter being much longer (568 nucleotides as compared to 164 nucleotides in human). The record is from Ensembl. NCBI's taxonomy places the organism in Eukaryota, Metazoa, Chordata, Mammalia, Rodentia, Octodontidae.
AUUCCUACCUGGCAGGGGUGAUACCAUGAUCACAAAGGCAGUUUUCCCAGAGUGAAGCUUACCCAUGGCACUCUGGAUGUGCUGACUCCUGCGAUUUCCUCACAUGCAGGAAACUUGAUUGCAUAAUGUGUGGUAAUAAUGGAGUAAUGGUAUUUGGGUGUUCCCCAGAA